AAAGAAUUAGUUAAAUUAACAUUGACUUGUCAAGUUAAAAUUAUUAGAUCAAAUCUAAUAUUCUUUA
This 67-nucleotide transfer RNA is filed under the name Platychauliodes sp. RNAcentral describes it as "tRNA-Asp". It matches the Rfam family "tRNA". Rfam says of the family: Transfer RNA (tRNA) molecules are approximately 80 nucleotides in length. Their secondary structure includes four short double-helical elements and three loops (D, anti-codon, and T loops). Further hydrogen bonds mediate the characteristic L-shaped molecular structure. tRNAs have two regions of fundamental functional importance: the anti-codon, which is responsible for specific mRNA codon recognition, and the 3' end, to which the tRNAs corresponding amino acid is attached (by aminoacyl-tRNA synthetases). tRNAs cope with the degeneracy of the genetic code in two manners: having more than one tRNA (with a specific anti-codon) for a particular amino acid; and 'wobble' base-pairing, i.e. permitting non-standard base-pairing at the 3rd anti-codon position. Lineage: Eukaryota; Metazoa; Arthropoda; Insecta; Megaloptera; Corydalidae. The record is from RNAcentral.